RNAcentral lists this unclassified non-coding RNA (219 nucleotides) under Hevea brasiliensis (rubber tree). The record is from RNAcentral. Lineage: Eukaryota; Viridiplantae; Streptophyta; Magnoliopsida; Malpighiales; Euphorbiaceae.
UCAAUCCCUCUUCCGAUUCCAAUCUCAAGAGAAAUGGGUAGUGCUGGAAAUACUGGAGCCACUUACGGGGAGUAUACCUAUGAGAACUUGGAGAGGGAGCCAUACUGGCCCUCUGAGAAGCUCCGCAUUUCCAUUACUGGCGCUGGAGGCUUCAUCGCCUCCCACAUUGCCAGGCGGCUGAAGAAUGAGGGGCAUUACAUUAUUGCCUCCGAUUGGAAG